RNAcentral lists this ribosomal RNA (1349 nucleotides) under metagenome. RNAcentral describes it as "bacterial LSU rRNA". It matches the Rfam family "Bacterial large subunit ribosomal RNA", at positions 1564 to 2925 of the family's 2925-position model. The record is from RNAcentral.
UGAGUACGAGCUGCUACGGCAGCGAAGUGGGUGACGUCAAGCUUCCAAGAAAAGCCCUAUACCCGUUAAGGCAUGAUGGCCUGUACCCGAAACCGGCACAGGUGGGGUGGUAGAGAAUACCGAGGGGCGCGGGAUAACUCUCUCUAAGGAACUCGGCAAAAUGGCCCCGUAACUUCGGGAGAAGGGGUGCCACCGCAAGGUGGUCGCAGUGAAGAGGCCCAGGCGACUGUUUACCAAAAACACAGGUCUCCGCUAAGUCGCAAGACGAUGUAUGGGGGCUGACGCCUGCCCAGUGCCGGAAGGUUAAGGAAGCUGGUCAGCGUAAGCGAAGCUAGCGACUGAAGCCCCGGUGAACGGCGGCCGUAACUAUAACGGUCCUAAGGUAGCGAAAUUCCUUGUCGGGUAAGUUCCGACCCGCACGAAAGGCGUAACGAUCUGGGCGCUGUCUCGGAGAGAGGCUCGGCGAAAUAGAAUUGUCUGUGAAGAUGCGGACUACGUGCACCCGGACAGAAAGACCCUAUGAAGCUUUACUGUAGCUUGGUAUUGUGCUCGGGCUCGGAAUGCGCAGGAUAGGUGGGAGGCUAUGAACCAUUGCUUGUGGGUGAUGGUGAGCCACUGGUGAGAUACCACUCUUUCCGAGCUAGAGUUCUAACAGCCACCCGUUAUCCGGGGGCUGGACAGUAUCAGGUGGGCAGUUUGACUGGGGCGGUCGCCUCCUAAAAGGUAACGGAGGCGCGCAAAGGUUUGCUCAGGCUGGUUGGAAAUCAGCCGACGAGUGUAAAAGCAGAAGCAAGCUUGACUGUGAGACCUACAAGUCGAACAGGGAGGAAACUCGGCUUUAGUGAUCCGACGGUUCUGCGUGGAAGGGCCGUCGCUCAACGGAUAAAAGUUACUCUAGGAUAACAGGCUGAUCUCCCCCAAGAGUUCACAUCGACGGGGAGGUUUGGCACCUCGAUGUCGGCUCAUCGCAACCUGGGGCUGAAGUCGGUCCCAAGGGUUGGGCUGUUCGCCCAUUAAAGCGGUACGCGAGCUGGGUUCAGAACGUCGUGAGACAGUUCGGUCCAUAUCCGGUGCAUGCGCAGGAAUAUUGAGAGGAUUUCUCCCUAGUACGAGAGGACCGGGAGGAACGCACCUCUGGUGUACCAGUUAUCGUGCCAACGGUAAACGCUGGGUAGCCAUGUGCGGAGAGGAUAACCGCUGAAAGCAUCUAAGUGGGAAGCCCACCUCAAGAUGAGUAUUCCCAUGGGUUAACCCAGUAAGGUCACGGGAAGAACACCCGUUGAUAGGCUCUACGUGGAAGCGCAGUAAUGUGUGAAGCGGAGGAGUACUAAUAGACCGAGGGCUUGACC